CCUACGGGGUGCAGCAGUGGGGAAUAUUGGACAAUGGGCGAAAGCCUGAUCCAGCCAUGCCGCGUGUGUGAAGAAGGCCUUCGGGUUGUAAAGCACUUUCAGUGGGGAAGAAAGCCUUGGGGCUAAUACCCUCGAGGAAGGACAUCACCCACAGAAGAAGCACCGGCUAACCCCGUGCCAGCAGCCGCGGUAAUACGGAGGGUGCGAGCGUUAAUCGGAAUUACUGGGCGUAAAGCGCGCGUAGGCGGUCUGAUAAGCCGGUUGUGAAAGCCCCGGGCUCAACCUGGGAACGGCAUCCGGAACUGUCAGGCUAGAGUGCAGGAGAGGAAGGUAGAAUUCCCGGUGUAGCGGUGAAAUGCGUAGAGAUCGGGAGGAAUACCAGUGGCGAAGGCGGCCUUCUGGACUGACACUGACGCUGAGGUGCGAAAGCGUGGGUAGCAAACAGGAUUAGAUACCCUGGUAGUC
This 465-nucleotide ribosomal RNA is filed under the name Vreelandella stevensii. Its description in RNAcentral is "partial 16S ribosomal RNA". It matches the Rfam family "Bacterial small subunit ribosomal RNA", at positions 338 to 795 of the family's 1533-position model. Lineage: Bacteria; Pseudomonadati; Pseudomonadota; Gammaproteobacteria; Oceanospirillales; Halomonadaceae. The record is from RNAcentral.